AAGACUAAACAUUCAGGGAUCAUUUCUGGUUUGUUACUACAGAAUUUUCUCUGCUUGUGUAGAGUACUGGAACCUACUACAAGGAGGAGGUGUAAUGUUCUCACCUGAGUGUGAAGCCUGCUCCAGGGGUUGCUUUAUUGCCAUAGCCAUUUGCCAUUGAUGAUCAUCUGUUUUUGGAGGAGUGAGAGGUUGAGGACAGCACCUCAGUGGA
Molecule: small nucleolar RNA, 211 nt
Filed under: Castor canadensis (American beaver)
Lineage: Eukaryota; Metazoa; Chordata; Mammalia; Rodentia; Castoridae
Description: Small nucleolar RNA U3 (ENSCCNG00000014932.1)
Rfam family: Small nucleolar RNA U3
About the family: Small nucleolar RNAs (snoRNAs) are involved in the processing and modification of rRNA in the nucleolus. There are two main classes of snoRNAs: the box C/D class, and the box H/ACA class. U3 snoRNA is a member of the box C/D class.
Source: Rfam by way of RNAcentral